Molecule: long non-coding RNA, 794 nt
Organism: Amphimedon queenslandica
Lineage: Eukaryota; Metazoa; Porifera; Demospongiae; Haplosclerida; Niphatidae
Exons: 2
Source: RefSeq, a predicted model, not a curated record
AGGCCUGAGGGGAUUAUUCCCAAAAAAUUUCCUAUUAUUCUAUUCCCAAAUUCUUAAUUUUUUUGUAAUUAUUCUUCUGUAUUUAUGGCUAUUAUUCUCAAAUUAUUCAUGUAACAUAAGAUAAGCCUGUGUAUAGUCCAAGAGAGAGGCUUGGAGAGAGGUGUCUUGUUAAUUACCAAUAUGGCUGUAAAAGCAUGAUUUUUUGGCUACAUGAGACCAAGCUGGCAGUCCUUCUGAAUUGCAAUUCCACCAUUCAACACAUGGAGUAUAUCAAAACACAUGGAGUAGCCAUUUUUAUUCCCGUUCACUACCGUUUAUUCUUAAUUUAUGCUAGUAUUCUCAAGGAACCUAUUAUUCCUAAAAUUAUUCCAGCAUAAUCCCCGCACCCCUACCCGUAGGAGGGGUGUUAUGUUUAACUUAACCUAUAAAGCCAUAGAGAUCAAAGGCAUCAAAUUGCAUCACUCUCACGUGACUCAACUAAAAAGCACAUGUAGUGAAAAAUGGCAGAAGGAGAAGCUCGAGGAGAAGUGACAAGUGCUGCUAAAAAAGAGAAAAUUAGCACCAGCAGAGCGUUUCAAAGACGCUAGUGACCAAGACGUCAUCGAUGAGAUAACCAAAGGCUACAUUCCUGCUAAUACUAAGAAGAGUACUGCAUGGGAUAAAUGGAUAUUCUGUAGGAACAAUUACAUUCAACUUUAAUUCUAAUUUACAAUGAACUCUGAUUCUGUAUGGACAAUUUCAAUUUUUGUCUCAAAUUAAUCCAUUAUUUUUAUGGGUGCAUGCAGUCCAAUAUA